This 423-nucleotide ribosomal RNA is filed under the name uncultured bacterium. RNAcentral's name for it is "partial 16S ribosomal RNA". It matches the Rfam family "Bacterial small subunit ribosomal RNA", at positions 359 to 774 of the family's 1533-position model. The record is from RNAcentral.
GAAUUUUGGACAAUGGGCGAAAGCCUGAUGCAGCAAUGCCGCGUGCAGGAUGAAGGCCUUCGGGUUGUAAACUGCUUGUGUACGGAACGAAAAGCUUUGGGUUAAUACCCUGGAGUCAUGACGGUACCGGAAGAAGAAGCACCGGCUAACUACGGCCGCGCAGCCACGGACAUACGGAGGGUGCAAGCGUUAAACGGAAUUACUUGGCGUAAAGCGUGCGCAGGCGGUGUUGUGAGACAGAGGUGAAAUCCCCUGGCUCAACCUGGGAACUGCCUUUGUGACUGCAAGGCUAGAGUACGGCAGAGGGGGGUGGAAUUCCGCGUGUAGCAGUGAAAUGCGUAGAUAUGCGGAGGAACACCGAUGGCGAAGGCAACCCCCUGGGCCUGUACUGACGCUCAUGCACGAAAGCGUGGGGAGCAAACA